CGGGAAUUUUGGGCGAUGGGCGAAAGCCUGACCCAGCAACGCCGCGUGAGGGAUGAAGUAUUUCGGUAUGUAAACCUCGAAAGAAUGGGAAGAAUAAAUGACGGUACCAUUUAUAAGCUCCGGCUAACUACGUGCCAGCAGCCGCGGUAAUACGUAGGGAGCAAGCGUUGUCCGGAUUUACUGGGUGUAAAGGGCGCGCAGGCGGGAUAAAAAGUCAGUGGUGAAAUCCUACAGCUUAACUGUAGAACUGCCUUUGAUACUUUUAUUCUUGAGUUCGGGAGAGAGAGACGGAAUUCCAGGUGUAGUGGUGAAAUACGUAGAUAUCUGGAAGAACACCAGUUGCGAAGGCGGUCUCUUGGUCCGACACUGACGCUGAGGCGCGAAAGCGUGGGGAGCAAACA
Molecule: ribosomal RNA, 401 nt
Filed under: uncultured bacterium
Lineage: Bacteria
Description: bacterial SSU rRNA
Rfam family: Bacterial small subunit ribosomal RNA
Source: RNAcentral